Molecule: ribosomal RNA, 508 nt
Filed under: uncultured bacterium
Lineage: Bacteria
Description: partial 16S ribosomal RNA
Source: RNAcentral
GGAGUUAGCCGGUGCUUCUUCUGUGAGUGAUGUCCUUCCUGCCGGUUAUUGACCCGCAGGCCUUCUUCCUCACUGAAAGUGCUUUACAACCCGAAGGCCUUCUUCACACACGCGGCAUGGCUGGAUCAGGGUUGCCCCCAUUGUCCAAUAUUCCCCACUGCUGCCUCCCGUAGGAGUCUGGGCCGUGUCUCAGUCCCAGUGUGGCUGAUCAUCCUCUCAGACCAGCUACGGAUCGUCGCCUUGGUGAGCCGUUACCUCACCAACCAGCUAAUCCGACAUAGGCUCAUCCGAUAGCGCGAGGCCCGAAGGUCCCCCGNUUUCCCCCGUAGGGCGUAUGCGGUAUUAGCCUGGGUUUCCCCCAGGUUAUCCCCCACUACCGGGCAGAUUCCUAUGCAUUACUCACCCGUCCGCCGCUCGCCACCAGGGAGCAAGCUCCCCGUGCUGCCGCUCGACUUGCAUGUGUUAGCGUCGCCGCCACGCGUCAUCUGAGCCAUGAUACAACUACUGA